This 481-nucleotide ribosomal RNA is filed under the name uncultured bacterium. RNAcentral's name for it is "partial 16S ribosomal RNA". It matches the Rfam family "Bacterial small subunit ribosomal RNA", at positions 28 to 507 of the family's 1533-position model. The record is from RNAcentral.
GACGAACGUUGGCGGCGUGCUUAAUACAUGCAAGUCCACUGAAGCAGUGGUAGCAAUAUCGCUGUGGAGGUGGCGCACGGGUGAGUAACACGUAGGUAAUCUGCCUUCAGGUCUGGCAUAACUCCGGGAAACCGGGGCUAAUAGCAGAUGAUGCAGCGGCUCGACAUCGAGACAGUUGUUAAAGCUAUGGCGCCUGAAGAUGAGCCUGCGCCUGAUUAGCUAGUUGGCGGGGUAACGGCCCACCAAGGCAACGAUCAGUAGCUGGUCUGAGAGGAUGAUCAGCCACACUGGAACUGAGACACGGUCCAGACUCCUACGGGAGGCAGCAGUAAGGAAUAUUGCUCAAUGGGAGAAAUCCUGAAGCAGCAACGCCGCGUGAGGGACGAAGGGCUUUUGCUUGUAAACCUCUGUAGUGAGAGAAAAAAAUCCCAAUCUUUGGGACAUGAUGGUAUCUCAAAAGUAAGCCCCGGCUAACUACGUG